Molecule: long non-coding RNA, 782 nt
Organism: Marmota flaviventris (yellow-bellied marmot)
Lineage: Eukaryota; Metazoa; Chordata; Mammalia; Rodentia; Sciuridae
Source: RefSeq, a predicted model, not a curated record
AGGUCUGUCCAUGAAGCAGCAGCAACGGCAGCAGCUUCCUCUGAUUCCUAAUGGGACUCAUCCUCUGACCACUCAUUUUAAGUUUGACUCCUUGAACCACCUUAAUUUCUUGAAGCUGGUUGCUACUUAUCACACUCCAGAGCUAGCACUCUCACCAAGGGCCGGAUGUGGAUGGUUUUCUAGAUCAUGCAAUAAUGUCUUCCCUCAAGAAAGGAGAGCCUUCCUCUAACACACAGGAACUCAGCAUCUGGGCCAGCAGUAAGUUUGUAUCAUGAUGUGAUCAUGGUAUUAUAAUAGCCAGACUUCAAGAUGGCUCCUGGUGUGCAUGCCCAUAUGUAUGGUCACUCUGAAAUUGAUCAUACAGGCUGGUCUGUGUGAGCAACAAAACAUGGCAGACAUUAUGGUGUACACUUUGGAUGCUAGAUCAUAAGAGGUUUGCAACUUCUACCUUAGUCUCUUAUGCUGACCCCUCUUGGGGAAGUCAACCACCAUGUCCUGAGGACCAAACAGGCUAUAGAGAAGCUCAGGCAGAAAAAAGCCAAUCUGCCAGGCAUGUGAGAGCCACCUUGUAAACAGAUCCUUCAGCCACAAUCAAGCCUUCAGAUGACUGUAGACCCAGUAACCUCAUGAGAGACCAGGAGCAUGAACCAUCCAACCAAAAUAUCCCUUGAAUUCCUGACUCACGGACAGGACAGCACAAGAUAUAAUUGUCAUAAAUCUCUAAAUUUGGGGGAUAAUCCCUCAUGCUACAGUGAAUAAUUAAUAGAGAUAUUAUAGUCCUA